UGGGGAUGAACGUCAAGUCCGCAUCGCUCCUUACGUCUAGGGCUACACACGUCCUACAAUGGGGUCGACAGUGGGAUGCAAAGCCGCGAGGUGGAGCCAAUCCCCAAAACGGCCUCUCAGUUCGGAUAGUAGUCUGCAACUCGACUACUUGAAGUCGGAAUCGCUAGUAAUGGCGGAUCAGCAUGCCGCCGUGAAUACGUUCCCGGGUCUU
Molecule: ribosomal RNA, 211 nt
Filed under: uncultured bacterium
Lineage: Bacteria
Description: partial 16S ribosomal RNA
Rfam family: Bacterial small subunit ribosomal RNA
Source: RNAcentral